CCCGCACAAGCGGUGGAGCAUGUGGUUAAUUCGAAGCAACGCGAAGAACCUUACCAGGUCUUGACAUCCCCUGACAACCCAAGAGAUUGGGCGUUCCCCUUCGGGGGGACAGGGUGACAGGUGGUGCAUGGUUGUCGUCAGCUCGUGUCGUGAGAUGUUGGGUUAAGUCCCGCAACGAGCGCAACCCUCGCCUCUAGUUGCCAGCAUUCGGUUGGGCACUCUAGAGGGACUGCCGGCGACAAGUCGGAGGAAGGUGGGGAUGACGUCAAAUCAUCAUGCCCCUUAUGACCUGGGCUACACACGUGCUACAAUGGGCGGUACAAAGGGCUGCGAACCCGCGAGGGGGAGCGAAUCCCAAAAAGCCGCUCUCAGUUCGGAUUGCAGGCUGCAACUCGCCUGCAUGAAGCCGGAAUCGCUAGUAAUCGUGGAUCAGAAUGUCACGGUGAAUACGUUCCCGGGUCUU
Molecule: ribosomal RNA, 463 nt
Filed under: uncultured Geobacillus sp.
Lineage: Bacteria; Bacillati; Bacillota; Bacilli; Caryophanales; Anoxybacillaceae
Description: bacterial SSU rRNA
Rfam family: Bacterial small subunit ribosomal RNA
Source: RNAcentral